RNAcentral lists this ribosomal RNA (1182 nucleotides) under Curtobacterium ammoniigenes. RNAcentral's name for it is "bacterial SSU rRNA". It matches the Rfam family "Bacterial small subunit ribosomal RNA", at positions 101 to 1297 of the family's 1533-position model. Lineage: Bacteria; Bacillati; Actinomycetota; Actinomycetes; Micrococcales; Microbacteriaceae. The record is from RNAcentral.
AACGGGUGAGUAACACGUGAGUAACCUGCCCCUGACUCUGGGAUAAGCGUUGGAAACGACGUCUAAUACUGGAUAUGACAACUGAUCGCAUGGUCUGGUUGUGGAAAGAUUUUUUGGUUGGGGAUGGACUCGCGGCCUAUCAGCUUGUUGGUGAGGUAAUGGCUCACCAAGGCGACGACGGGUAGCCGGCCUGAGAGGGUGACCGGCCACACUGGGACUGAGACACGGCCCAGACUCCUACGGGAGGCAGCAGUGGGGAAUAUUGCACAAUGGGCGCAAGCCUGAUGCAGCAACGCCGCGUGAGGGAUGACGGCCUUCGGGUUGUAAACCUCUUUUAGUAGGGAAGAAGCGAAAGUGACGGUACCUGCAGAAAAAGCACCGGCUAACUACGUGCCAGCAGCCGCGGUAAUACGUAGGGUGCAAGCGUUGUCCGGAAUUAUUGGGCGUAAAGAGCUCGUAGGCGGUUUGUCGCGUCUGCUGUGAAAUCCCGAGGCUCAACCUCGGGCUUGCAGUGGGUACGGGCAGACUAGAGUGCGGUAGGGGAGAUUGGAAUUCCUGGUGUAGCGGUGGAAUGCGCAGAUAUCAGGAGGAACACCGAUGGCGAAGGCANAUCUCUGGGCCGUAACUGACGCUGAGGAGCGAAAGCGUGGGGAGCGAACAGGAUUAGAUACCCUGGUAGUCCACGCCGUAAACGUUGGGCGCUAGAUGUAGGGACCUUUCCACGGUUUCUGUGUCGUAGCUAACGCAUUAAGCGCCCCGCCUGGGGAGUACGGCCGCAAGGCUAAAACUCAAAGGAAUUGACGGGGGCCCGCACAAGCGGCGGAGCAUGCGGAUUAAUUCGAUGCAACGCGAAGAACCUUACCAAGGCUUGACAUACACCGGAAACGGCCAGAGAUGGUCGCCCCCUUGUGGUCGGUGUACAGGUGGUGCAUGGUUGUCGUCAGCUCGUGUCGUGAGAUGUUGGGUUAAGUCCCGCAACGAGCGCAACCCUCGUUCUAUGUUGCCAGCGGUUCGGCCGGGGACUCAUAGGAGACUGCCGGGGUCAACUCGGAGGAAGGUGGGGAUGACGUCAAAUCAUCAUGCCCCUUAUGUCUUGGGCUUCACGCAUGCUACAAUGGCCGGUACAAAGGGCUGCGAUACCGUAAGGUGGAGCGAAUCCCAAAAAGCCGGUCUCAGUUCGGA